Sander lucioperca (pikeperch) is the source of this 573-nucleotide long non-coding RNA. RefSeq lists it as uncharacterized. The record is from RefSeq and is a predicted model, not a curated record. NCBI's taxonomy places the organism in Eukaryota, Metazoa, Chordata, Actinopteri, Perciformes, Percidae. The transcript is spliced from 3 exons.
UCACUUAAGUUAAGAAUAUCUGGGUAUUUGGGUGGAUGAUAAACUCUUCGUCUUUUAAACCACACAUAACUGAACUUGUAAAGAAAUUCAAACCAAAAUUGGCAUUCUUUUACAGAAAUAAGUCAUGCUUCACCCAAAGUUGUAGGAAACAGAUUGUUCAAGCUACGUUUCUAUCAGUUUUGGAGUACGGUGAUAUCAUUUAUAUGCAUGCAGCUUCUUCUACAUCAAAGCCACUUGAUGCAGUUUAUCACUCUGCCCUAAGAUUUAUAUCUGGUGAUGGAUUUAGUACCCGCCACUGUCUCCUUUAUCAAAAUGUAGGCUGGACUUCCUUGGCUCUAAGAAGGGAGCAACACUGCAUUCUAUUUAUCUACAAAGCCUUGCUUAAAGAAUUGCCUGUAUAUUUAACAAGCUUGCUGAAUAUGAAAUUGUAUCACUAUGGCACUCACACUAGUGACUACUUGGUCCUAAAUAUUCCAUUUGUUAGGACAGAAUAAGGCAAAACUGCAUUUGAAUAUUAUGCCCCAUAUAAAUGGAAUAGCCUGCAAUUUCUAAUGAAAUUGAACAGCCUAAUUC